Molecule: transfer RNA, 87 nt
Filed under: bacterium ADurb.Bin212
Lineage: Bacteria
Description: tRNA-Ser
Rfam family: tRNA
About the family: Transfer RNA (tRNA) molecules are approximately 80 nucleotides in length. Their secondary structure includes four short double-helical elements and three loops (D, anti-codon, and T loops). Further hydrogen bonds mediate the characteristic L-shaped molecular structure. tRNAs have two regions of fundamental functional importance: the anti-codon, which is responsible for specific mRNA codon recognition, and the 3' end, to which the tRNAs corresponding amino acid is attached (by aminoacyl-tRNA synthetases). tRNAs cope with the degeneracy of the genetic code in two manners: having more than one tRNA (with a specific anti-codon) for a particular amino acid; and 'wobble' base-pairing, i.e. permitting non-standard base-pairing at the 3rd anti-codon position.
Source: RNAcentral
GCCGCGGUGUUGGAAUUGGUAGACAAGCACGGUUCAGAACCGUGUGCCAGCAAUGGCGUGGAGGUUCAAGUCCUCUUCGCGGCACCA